UACGUAGGGUGCGAGCGUUAUUCGGAAUUACUGGGCGUAAAGCGUGCGCAGGCGGCCGAGCAAGUCGAGUGUGAAAGCCCCGGGCUUAACUUGGGAAUUGCGCUCGAAACUACUUGGCUGGAGUGUGGCAGAGGAAGGUGGAAUUCCAGGUGUAGCGGUGAAAUGCGUAGAGAUCUGGAGGAACACCGAUGGCGAAGGCAGCCUUCUGGGCCAACACUGACGCUCAUGCACGAAAGCGUGGGGAGCAAACAGG
Molecule: ribosomal RNA, 253 nt
Filed under: uncultured bacterium
Lineage: Bacteria
Description: partial 16S ribosomal RNA
Rfam family: Bacterial small subunit ribosomal RNA
Source: RNAcentral